ACAUGCAAGUCGAGGGGUAACGGGGAGCUUGCUCCGCCGACGACCGGCGCACGGGUGCGCACCGCGUAUGGAACCUACCUUGUACAGGGGAAUAGCCUUUGGAAACGAAGAUUAAUGCCCCGUGGUACCACGUCCCGGCAUCGGGAUGUGGUUAAAGCCUUCGGGCGGUACAAGAUGGCCAUGCGUCCCAUUAGCUUGUUGGUAAGGUAACGGCUUACCAAGGCUACGAUGGGUAGGGGCCCUGAGAGGGGGAUCCCCCACACUGGUACUGAGACACGGACCAGACUCCUACGGGAGGCAGCAGUGAGGAAUAUUGGACAAUGGAGGAGACUCUGAUCCAGCCAUGCCGCGUGCAGGAAGAAUGCCCUAUGGGUAGUAAACUGCUUUUAUACAGGAAGAAAAAGAGCUACGUGUAGCUUACUGACGGUACUGUAAGAAUAAGGACCGGCUAACUCCGUGCCAGCAGCCGCGGUAAUACGGAGGGUCCGAGCGUUAUCCGGAAUUAUUGGGUUUAAAGGGUCCGUAGGCGGGCCGAUAAGUCAGGGGUGAAAGUUUGCAGCUCAACUGUAAAAUUGCCUUUGAUACUGUUGGUCUUGAGUUAUAGUGAAGUUGCCGGAAUAUGUAGUGUAGCGGUGAAAUGCAUAGAUAUUACAUAGAACACCGAUUGCGAAGGCAGGUGACUAACUAUAUACUGACGCUGAUGGACGAAAGCGUGGGGAGCGAACAGGAUUAGAUACCCUGGUAGUCCACGCCGUAAACGAUGGAUACUAGCUGUCCGGAACCUUGAGUUCUGGGCGGCCAAGCGAAAGUGAUAAGUAUCCCACCUGGGGAGUACGUUCGCAAGAAUGAAACUCAAAGG
Molecule: ribosomal RNA, 859 nt
Filed under: Maribacter sp. Norgb2
Lineage: Bacteria; Pseudomonadati; Bacteroidota; Flavobacteriia; Flavobacteriales; Flavobacteriaceae
Description: bacterial SSU rRNA
Rfam family: Bacterial small subunit ribosomal RNA
Source: RNAcentral